Mastomys coucha (southern multimammate mouse) is the source of this 1000-nucleotide long non-coding RNA. RefSeq lists it as uncharacterized. Lineage: Eukaryota; Metazoa; Chordata; Mammalia; Rodentia; Muridae. The record is from RefSeq and is a predicted model, not a curated record. The transcript is spliced from 3 exons.
ACCAGUCUAGGGACAGCUCUACCUGAGAUGGUCUGGGUUCUUCCCUAUCAGUCACUCGUGCCCUACAGCCGAUCUAUGGAGAUAUUUUAUCUAUUGAGGUUCCCUCCUUUCAGAUGACUCUGUGUUUUGUCACAUUGACAUAAAACAAGCCAGCAUUGUGUUGGGCUAUUUUCCCAGUCAGGGCAAGUCCAGCAGUAGAUUCUUAGUGUAGAAUGACGACCACCAAGCACUUACCUCACAAAGAAAGCUCCAUCACCAUGGCAACACCCACCUUAAGCAUUCUAAGGAGGCCAUUACCUCAAAUCAGUCCUCAGGAAUCAGGCAGAAUAUUUUGUCAGGAUAUCUGAGGGAUGAAUGGAAAGAUGUGGGUUUUGUUUUUACUUUGGGACCCAGUGAUACAGUUUGUAGAAACUCUUGCCUUCACUGCUGCCCCAGUGUGACAUGCCGAGUCACUACUGCCCCAGUGUGACAUGCUGAGUCACUACUGCCCCAGUGUGAUAUGCUGAGUCAGGGCAGUACUCUCCCUGCUUCCUGGCUCUUGCAGACCUUAGUCAAGUUUCAGUGGUUGUUUACAGCUGUGAUAGAAUAUAAGCCAGUGUCACUCCGGCGAGACUGAGGAAUGACUAAAGUGCAAGUGUCGUCCACCACCUGUUUGUUGACAUGGGUGUCAUAGACAACAGGCUCUUUGCUAUCCGGCUUCUUUGGAGGAGCCUUAAACCAGAAGGGGCAAAUUUCAUAAAGAAGGUAGAAGAUGGCUAUUGCCUUAUGGUAUGUAAUCCACACAAAAACCAAGCGACCACACUUUCCUGACUAUGCAGUGGACCCUGACUGAUACCUGGUGCAGGUGGAGGCGGAGCUUCGUAUUCUUCCUCUUCUACAACAGGGACUGGCUCCUCCUCUUCAGCAGUGACUUCUUCAGGUUCUUCAUAUACUUUAAAGAUAUUAGUCAAUUGUAUUUCAGUGUGUGAGACAAAAUUAUAAAACACAGAAAACAUCCAAA